AAUAUUGGUCAAUGGACGCAAGUCUGAACCAGCCAUGCCGCGUGAAGGAUGAAGGUCCUCUGGAUUGUAAACUUCUUUUAUAGGGGGCGAAAAAAGGUUUUUCUAAAUCACUUGACAGUACCCUAUGAAUAAGCACCGGCUAACUCCGUGCCAGCAGCCGCGGUAAUACGGAGGGUGCAAGCGUUAUCCGGAUUCACUGGGUUUAAAGGGUGCGUAGGCGGGUAGGUAAGUCAGAGGUGAAAUCCUGGAGCUUAACUCCAGAACUGCCUUUGAUACUAUCUAUCUUGAAUAUGGUGGAGGUAAGCGGAAUAUGUCAUGUAGCGGUGAAAUGCAUAGAUAUGACAUAGAACACCUAUUGCGAAGGCAGCUUACUACGCCUAUAUUGACGCUGAGGCACGAAAGCGUGGGGAUCAAACAGG
RNAcentral lists this ribosomal RNA (419 nucleotides) under uncultured bacterium. RNAcentral's name for it is "partial 16S ribosomal RNA". It matches the Rfam family "Bacterial small subunit ribosomal RNA", at positions 360 to 776 of the family's 1533-position model. The record is from RNAcentral.